GGCAGGGACAGAGACGGGUCCAUGGCAGUGUCUGCUCUUCUCUGUGAAGGCAAAGGGCCUCUGAGGGAGUAUUACAGCCGCCUCAUCCACCAGAAGCAUUUCCAGCACAUCCAGGUCUGCACCCACUGGCUGGAGGGCCGAGGACUACCCCCGCUUCUAGAGCCAAGAGCUGGGUAGAGCUGCAAGGACAGUGCCUGCACAGGGUGCUCAGGGCUGGGCAUUACCUGCUGCAAUGACAACAUCUAGCUGGAAGGCAGAGCGCUGAUGGACCGUCACUACGUCCCAGUCCAGCGCUGGGCCAUUGUCACCCUAGGGCUGUCUAAGUUGGCAGUGAUGUCUGCCUCUAAUGAGAGGCCAUUGAGAAGGACAUUUCCUUGGAGCUGCUCGAGGACUCGGCUGUGACAGUCGCUGAAGAUGUAUGCCCGGGGGCGGCAUAUCUUGCAGAUGGCCAGGCCUGUGAGGCUGGCACCACUGCCAAGCUCUAAGACAGACCUGGCGAGAGGAAAGGGGACCGUGUCUGC
Molecule: long non-coding RNA, 521 nt
Filed under: Homo sapiens (human)
Lineage: Eukaryota; Metazoa; Chordata; Mammalia; Primates; Hominidae
Description: non-protein coding lnc-PRAG1-7:6
Source: RNAcentral